Molecule: long non-coding RNA, 484 nt
Organism: Macrobrachium nipponense
Lineage: Eukaryota; Metazoa; Arthropoda; Malacostraca; Decapoda; Palaemonidae
Exons: 3
Source: RefSeq, a predicted model, not a curated record
GUUUUCAGUCAGCCAUCUUAGCGAAAGUGACGGUGUAUUGUAGCUGCUAUGUUUAACGUUCGAAUAUGGGGAUUCUCAAGUGCUUGUUACCAGCUGGUUUGUAACUUGAACUUAACGUAUUUGGGGGCCCAAGAGUGGUUUUAGCCAGUCAGUGUUAGUGAAGCGAUAUUUUGAAAAACCUAAGUGUCAGGCAUAACUACGAAAUGGUAAAUAAACAACGAUAUACAAAUAGAACUGUGAUUUUAGUUGGGGGAAAUCAGAAAGCUACGAAGUACGGGCACAAGGACCACGGUAGGAAAGGCAACUGAGAAGUGAGGUCGAGAAAUAAGAGAAAUAAAGUUAAAUAGAUAUGACAAAACUGACUCGUUUCUCGUAACACUGCAAGUUCUCGAGGGUUAUUGUGAUGACAGACACGGGAGUGAACUGAAGAGUUGCUGCACCAACAUGGCAAGAACAGAGGAAGGAAGAAGCCAACAUGGCAAAA